RNAcentral lists this transfer RNA (95 nucleotides) under Patescibacteria group bacterium. Its description in RNAcentral is "tRNA-Phe". It matches the Rfam family "tRNA". Rfam says of the family: Transfer RNA (tRNA) molecules are approximately 80 nucleotides in length. Their secondary structure includes four short double-helical elements and three loops (D, anti-codon, and T loops). Further hydrogen bonds mediate the characteristic L-shaped molecular structure. tRNAs have two regions of fundamental functional importance: the anti-codon, which is responsible for specific mRNA codon recognition, and the 3' end, to which the tRNAs corresponding amino acid is attached (by aminoacyl-tRNA synthetases). tRNAs cope with the degeneracy of the genetic code in two manners: having more than one tRNA (with a specific anti-codon) for a particular amino acid; and 'wobble' base-pairing, i.e. permitting non-standard base-pairing at the 3rd anti-codon position. The record is from RNAcentral.
GCCGAGGUAGCUCAGUGGUACCUGCCUGCCGGCAGGCAGGGAGCGAAGGACUGAAAAUCCUUGCGUCGCCAGUUCAAUCCUGGCCCUCGGCACCA